UACGUAUGUCGCAAGCGUUAUCCGGAUUUACUGGGCGUAAAGCGCGUCUAGGCGGUUUAGCAAGUCUGUUGUGAAAAUGCGGGGCUCAACCCCGUAUGGCGUUGGAAACUGCUAAACUAGAGUGCAGGAGAGGUAGGCGGAACUACAAGUGUAGAGGUGAAAUUCGUAGAUAUUGGUAGGAAUGCCGAUGGGGAAGGCAGCCUACUGGACUGACACUGACGCUAAAGCGCGAAAGCGUGGGUAGCAAACAGG
This 252-nucleotide ribosomal RNA is filed under the name uncultured bacterium. RNAcentral describes it as "partial 16S ribosomal RNA". It matches the Rfam family "Bacterial small subunit ribosomal RNA", at positions 524 to 776 of the family's 1533-position model. The record is from RNAcentral.